GGGGUUGUGGCUCAGUGGUGGAGCACUUGCCUAGCAUGCAUGAGGCACUGGGUUCAAUCCCCAGCAUCACAU
RNAcentral lists this transfer RNA (72 nucleotides) under Ictidomys tridecemlineatus (thirteen-lined ground squirrel). RNAcentral describes it as "Spermophilus tridecemlineatus (thirteen-lined ground squirrel) tRNA". It matches the Rfam family "tRNA". From Rfam's summary of the family: Transfer RNA (tRNA) molecules are approximately 80 nucleotides in length. Their secondary structure includes four short double-helical elements and three loops (D, anti-codon, and T loops). The record is from Rfam by way of RNAcentral. Lineage: Eukaryota; Metazoa; Chordata; Mammalia; Rodentia; Sciuridae.